Molecule: ribosomal RNA, 253 nt
Filed under: uncultured bacterium
Lineage: Bacteria
Description: partial 16S ribosomal RNA
Rfam family: Bacterial small subunit ribosomal RNA
Source: RNAcentral
UACGAAGGGUGCAAACGUUGCUCGGAAUCAUUGGGCGUAAAGCGUGCGUAGGCGGUCCUCCAAGUCCGCUGUGAAAGCCCCGGGCUCAACCUGGGAAUGGCAGUGGAAACUAUGGGACUUGAAUCUGGCAGAGGGGGGUGGAAUGCCACGUGUAGCAGUGAAAUGCGUAGAGAUGUGGCGGAACACCGAUGGCGAAGGCAGCCCCCUGGGCUGAGAUUGACGCUCAGGCACGAAAGCGUGGGGAGCAAACAGG